UACAGAGGGCGCAAGCGUUAUUCGGGAUUACUGGGCGUAAAGCGCAUGUAGGCGGUUUAGUAAGUCUGGUGUGAAAUCCCUCGACUCAAUCGGGGAAGUGCAUUGGAUACUGCUAGACUAGAGUAUGGGAGAGGUGAGUGGAAUUCCAGGUGUAGAGGUGAAAUUCGUAGAUAUCUGGAGGAACAACAGAGGCGAAGGAGGCUCACUGGACCAUUACUGACGCUGAGAUGCGAAAGCGUGGGGAGCAAACAGG
Molecule: ribosomal RNA, 253 nt
Filed under: uncultured bacterium
Lineage: Bacteria
Description: partial 16S ribosomal RNA
Rfam family: Bacterial small subunit ribosomal RNA
Source: RNAcentral